This 231-nucleotide ribosomal RNA is filed under the name uncultured bacterium. RNAcentral's name for it is "partial 16S ribosomal RNA". It matches the Rfam family "Bacterial small subunit ribosomal RNA", at positions 333 to 581 of the family's 1533-position model. The record is from RNAcentral.
GUGAUCCUACGGGGGGCAGCAGUAGGGAAUAUUGCUCAAUGGGGGAAACCCUGAAGCAGCAACGCCGCGUGGAGGAUGAAGGUUUUCGGAUUGUAAAUUCCUUUUGUUAGAGAAGAUAAUGACGGUAUCUAACGAAUAAGCACCGGCUAACUCCGUGCCAGCAGCGGAGGUAAUACGGAGGGUGCAAGCGUUACUCGGAAUCACUGGGCGUAAAGAGCGCGUAGGGGGGAU